This 111-nucleotide ribosomal RNA is filed under the name Bacillus sp. dmp5. RNAcentral describes it as "partial 16S ribosomal RNA". It matches the Rfam family "Bacterial small subunit ribosomal RNA", at positions 1 to 105 of the family's 1533-position model. The record is from RNAcentral. Lineage: Bacteria; Bacillati; Bacillota; Bacilli; Caryophanales; Bacillaceae.
UUUAUUGGAGAGUUUGAUCCUGGCUCAGGAUGAACGCUGGCGGCGUGCCUAAUACAUGCAAGUCGAGCGAAUGGAUUAAGAGCUUGCUCUUAUGAAGUUAGCGGCGGACGG